RNAcentral lists this long non-coding RNA (3247 nucleotides) under Homo sapiens (human). RNAcentral's name for it is "PCBP1 antisense RNA 1, transcript variant 9 (PCBP1-AS1)". The record is from RNAcentral. Lineage: Eukaryota; Metazoa; Chordata; Mammalia; Primates; Hominidae.
GUCCCCGGCGUCCGGGCGCCCUGCAUGGAUCCCCCACCCCAGCUCCUGCUCCCCGGCGGCGGCCGGUGGGCAGAAAGACCGAAACCCACUCACGGCCGCCUGCCGAAUCGCGGCUCUGCUGUUUGUGGGGCGUGCUAGAAACGUGGUCCUAAAAAGAAUGGCGUCCAUUUACAUAAUGCUUUGUUUGCGUUUCGCAAGUUUCUUUCGGUUAAAGCCACAGAAACCCCACCUCCUGCCCUUGUGUCGUUUCCACCGCGGCACCCUUUUCCGACAUUAGAAACAAUAGUGUACGCCUGUGGAGGCCUCGUUUGUUCAGGGGCUGCCGGCCAGGGCUUCAGGACGUUUCUGCGGCUUUCCCCGCGCGGCCUGGGCUCCCGCGGCUGCUUUUCGGGCCCAUGGGCGCAGCCACUGCGCCAGGCUCAAGGGGGGCGGCCCCGUCAGGGCCCGCCAUCUUGGAAGGCCUUUUUUGCCGGUUCUUCCCGCUGAGGAAGUGUCGCUCAAGACGCUGGCCUAUGAGUUGUGAUUUCUGCCUUUUCCCCUUCCUCCUUGGGCUAAGCCAGACCAGAAAGGGCCCCGUGCGCAACGUGCUUCACAAUCUCUCAGGGAAAGCGGCUAACGUGGCGCUACUCCGCCUCCCCUGUUCCUUACCCUUGGGGCGGCCGCCAUGUUUCCUGAACACAAAAUGGCGACACGUGGUUAGCAUUCGUCGCCAACGAGAAAUUGGGGUCGGCCCGAAAGCUCUAGAAUGCACCCCUCUUCCUCCCCGGGGCCUUCCACCUCCGCGAGUUUUAUGACUUAAAAAAGCCCACAGGCUGGUCUGAAGGUCGGAGGCCUAAUUUUAACGCGUUUUCCUCCCUUUAAUUUGAAACGGGAACGCGAAUGACUGUAAAAUGUGGGCACAAUAUUUAAUCUCUCGCCUUUUUAAAGCUUAAUAGUGGAUAAUAGGGGGGCAGUAUCAAGGGAUAAUUUGGGUCCCCACAGUACCAAAGCAUUUAGAAACCUCUGUUUAAUUUAAGGAAUGAGAUAAGUUACUGCUUUUCUAGACUUCCUAGCAUGGGCUGUUGUGCUGGAGAGAACGAGAGCUACGAAGAGACUACAGUGCCUCUGACUUUUUCAUAGGACAGUUGGCCGAGGAAGACAAACAUAAAGAUGAAGUGCUUAAUUCAAGGUCACACAAUGUCGGGGAUGGACCUCCAGAUUUCCUUACUGGUGAGACGUGGUCUUGUAACACAGUGGUUAAGAAUGUGACUUUGGAGCCAGCCUGCUAGGGGCUGAAUUCUGACUCAGCCAUUUACUAACUGUGUGACCUUAGGUGGGUUCCCAAGCCUGUAAAAUGUAAGCCUUAUGCUGCUGAGGGCCAUCUUGCCACCCUGAGGGAAACGCUGCCUGAGAAUGAAACAAGCAUAAGUAAAAGCUGAGCUGUGAGAUGGAGCAAGAUGAAGGCCACAUGACAUCUUUGGAGCACCUGGAUCUAACUGUGCCUUAAGCUAGUCUAACCCUGAACAUUUCAUCAUUUCAUUGACAUGAGCCCAGGUUUUCUUUUUUUUUGGAUGGAGUCUUGCUCUGUCGCCCAGGCUGGAGUGCAGUAGCUCAAUCUCGGCUCACUGCAAGCUCCACCUCCCGGGUUCACGCCAUUCUCCUGCCUUAGCCUCCCAAGUAGCUGGGACAACAGGCGCCCACCACCACUCCCAGCUAAUUUUUUGUAUUUUUAGUAGAGACGGGGUUUUACCAUGUUAGCCGGGAUGGUCUUGAUCUCCUGACCUCAUGAUCCGCCCGCCUCGGCCUCCCAAAGUGCUGGGAUUACAGGUGUGAGCCACUGCACCCAGCCCUCAGGUUUUCCCUUUUUUUACCCCUCCUUUUGAAAAUUUGAUGUGGAAUUUUGCCACCUGCAGCCAGAAGAGUUUUAACUAAUCAGUGCCAUAAAUUUUAUAUAGUUCUCCUUGCAAAAUGUGGAUCAGCCUUUCUCAGCAAAUCCUUUGUCAUAAAGUGCUGAAUUGUAAGUUUGUCAUGAGAAUCACAUGAGAUCAUGCAUGUGAAGAACCUGGCAUUAUCCUCCUCAUAGAAAAAAACCAGUAAAUAUUAACUACAGGAAGCAAGGAAGGAGUGGGGUGAGGGGAAGAAGAAGGGGUACUGAUUUAAAAGAACCCUGGAGUCCUAAGGAUAAUCUAGGAACCCUCAGACCCAAUCCGAUACCCCUAUUCUAAAUGCUCCUAGUGCCCUGUACCUUCCCCUCAUAAGCCUUCAUUAUCAUUGUAAUGAUAUGUUUAUGUAAUAUUUUGAUUAAUGUCUCUCCUUCACUGACCUAGCAGUUCUAGCAGGGCAGUGAUUUUGCUGUGUUGCAUCCCCAGCACCUAGUCUGGUAUGUGGCAUUCAGCAUAUGUUUAUUGAAUGAAUGGCCAUGUGGUUAUUCAGAUCCUCCUUGAUUAUUGGGGUUAGGAUUGUGGCAGAAGUGGCAAAAUCAGGGAGAGUAGUCCCUGUCCCCUCUGUAUCUUAUACACUGCCCACACUCCCAACACACAUACACAUACAGAGAAUUUUGUCUCAAUUAGAUAAUUAACUUCUGCUUGGUUGUAAACCAAACCACUGGUUCUUAAACUUUCAUUGGAUCAUUUUAUUGAAGAAUUAAAUAGUGUGGUUCUGGCCUAAUGUCUGGAAAGCCUUGCAGAGGAGUGGAUUAGGUCUUUGUGAUAAACAGGCAGCCUUCCCUGCUCCUGUGUCUUUAUAAAAUCUAUUUAACUGGAGUAGUCCACCCUCCCUCAGGCUCUUACAGGAAUAUGUUGGAGGCUGUAGGAAGGUGGGAAACCGAGAGGGAAAGGACUGGGCCGCUGGAGACUUCACUCAUUCCCUAGCAAGAAACAAAAGCAGUAAAAGGUGGCCCGAGGACAACCUGAAGCUCACUCCUUCAGCACUUUUGGCUGGAGGUCACUUGUUGGAGCCCCACUCAGAGCUCAGCACACCACCCCACCAGCAGCCUCCUCCUCCCAGCUGAGGCUGCAUUUCAUCCCUUCCCCCAGCCUGCUUUCCCUGAGAUAGGGGAGUGUUUCCCAGGGCCCAUGUGACUUCCACUGGCAAGUGACGAUUACCAAUGGUUUACUAGUCAGUGAAACUACCAAAGGCUUUUGUGCUGUAGUAAUCCUUUUCCUGUUUAAAACUCUGGGGAUUUUCUAAUGUUGCCAAUAGUUUUUCAAGUCAGCAAUUACUGUGUGGAUUAUGUAAUGGCUCGGUAUUAAAAAUAGAAAAGACUGGA